UGAAAGCAUCUAAGCACGAAACUUGCCCCGAGAUGAGUUCUCCCUGACUCCUUGAGAGUCCUGAAGGAACGUUGAAGACGACGACGUUGAUAGGCCGGGUGUGUAAGCGCAGCGAUGCGUUGAGCUAACCGGUACUAAUGAACCGUGAGGCUUAACCUUACAACGCCGAAGGUGUUU
This 177-nucleotide ribosomal RNA is filed under the name Escherichia coli. RNAcentral describes it as "partial 23S ribosomal RNA". The stretch from base 1 to 159 matches the Rfam family "Bacterial large subunit ribosomal RNA", at positions 2772 to 2925 of the family's 2925-position model. Lineage: Bacteria; Pseudomonadati; Pseudomonadota; Gammaproteobacteria; Enterobacterales; Enterobacteriaceae. The record is from RNAcentral.